Molecule: ribosomal RNA, 527 nt
Filed under: uncultured bacterium
Lineage: Bacteria
Description: bacterial SSU rRNA
Rfam family: Bacterial small subunit ribosomal RNA
Source: RNAcentral
AAUAGAUACCCGGGUAGUCCACGCCGUAAACGAUGUCGACUUGGAGGUUGUGCCCUUGAGGCGUGGCUUCCGGAGCUAACGCGUUAAGUCGACCGCCUGGGGAGUACGGCCGCAAGGUUAAAACUCAAAUGAAUUGACGGGGGCCCGCACAAGCGGUGGAGCAUGUGGUUUAAUUCGAUGCAACGCGAAGAACCUUACCUGGUCUUGACAUCCACAGAACUUGGCAGAGAUGCCUUGGUGCCUUCGGGAACUGUGAGACAGGUGCUGCAUGGCUGUCGUCAGCUCGUGUUGUGAAAUGUUGGGUUAAGUCCCGCAACGAGCGCAACCCUUAUCCUUUGUUGCCAGCGGUUAGGCCGGGAACUCAAAGGAGACUGCCAGUGAUAAACUGGAGGAAGGUGGGGAUGACGUCAAGUCAUCAUGGCCCUUACGACCAGGGCUACACACGUGCUACAAUGGCAUAUACAAAGAGAAGCGACCUCGCGAGAGCAAGCGGACCUCAUAAAGUAUGUCGUAGUCCGGAUUGGAGU